GCCUUCGUGGUGUAAUGGUCAGCACGAUCAACGCUUAUUCGAGAGGUCCGUGGUUCGAGUCCCGGCGAGGACA
Molecule: transfer RNA, 73 nt
Filed under: Stegodyphus mimosarum
Lineage: Eukaryota; Metazoa; Arthropoda; Arachnida; Araneae; Eresidae
Rfam family: tRNA
About the family: Transfer RNA (tRNA) molecules are approximately 80 nucleotides in length. Their secondary structure includes four short double-helical elements and three loops (D, anti-codon, and T loops). Further hydrogen bonds mediate the characteristic L-shaped molecular structure. tRNAs have two regions of fundamental functional importance: the anti-codon, which is responsible for specific mRNA codon recognition, and the 3' end, to which the tRNAs corresponding amino acid is attached (by aminoacyl-tRNA synthetases). tRNAs cope with the degeneracy of the genetic code in two manners: having more than one tRNA (with a specific anti-codon) for a particular amino acid; and 'wobble' base-pairing, i.e. permitting non-standard base-pairing at the 3rd anti-codon position.
Source: Rfam by way of RNAcentral